AUUAUAUGACAGAUAUUGAAUAAAUAGACAUAUAUGCAUUGUAAUUCGCAAAGAUCUGGCAAGACCACAGGCUAAAAUGCCCACAGAUUCACUUAGAACCACUGCAAACUUGGCAGUGAAAUUAAAAAAUAAAAGGCAAGACUUAGCAUUGAAAAAUACCUAAUAAAUUUUUGGUUGAAGUGUAAAAGAUACCAAAUGCGGAUGCCAUCGAGCAGCAACCAUGGACUUUCUGAUUAAAGCUGCAGCAUACUACAGAAA
This 258-nucleotide long non-coding RNA is filed under the name Homo sapiens (human). Its description in RNAcentral is "HSALNT0045600". Lineage: Eukaryota; Metazoa; Chordata; Mammalia; Primates; Hominidae. The record is from RNAcentral.